Molecule: long non-coding RNA, 1731 nt
Organism: Vombatus ursinus (common wombat)
Lineage: Eukaryota; Metazoa; Chordata; Mammalia; Diprotodontia; Vombatidae
Exons: 3
Source: RefSeq, a predicted model, not a curated record
CUACGGGGCAGAGGGCCAAGAGGCAUCAGGGGGCGGGUACUUCCGGUAGAGGUAGUCCAAUCGCAGAGCCAGAGACCUAGUGCCCUAUAAAAACCCGAAGAGGCGGGCUUCCCGUUCUUUCUCUGGCUUGCGCGCUUUCUUGUCGGAGGUGAGACUCGUGAAGUACUCCUGUGACUCUCAGCUUGGUUGGGCACUGCUAGCUCCGAGUUCCAGGCAGGGACCUGGCCAGCCCUGCCUGCUGGCCUCACCCUUCCUCUCCCACCCUGCUGUAGCACCUGGGAACGGCAACCGAAAGGGCUCAUCCUCCGGCACGUGGAGCUUUCCUGCGGCGCCGCCGGACGAUCGAGGUGUGCCCCAUGCUGUGGAUGAACUGAACCACCAAAAAGAUUCCACAAUGAUAGCAAGCUACAACAAUUUCUUCAUGAAUUUCUGUUUGUGUUGUGGGUAAGUUAAAAAUUUAGAGCUUGUGGGGGGGAAACUUUAAGAUAAAAUCCAUUAUGUUCACAAUAAAAAAGGCACUUUGGUUGUGGAUGGUGGGGGGAGGGGGUCUAACCAGUAGCGGACAACAGCUGAAUAGCCAUUCACUGUAUAAAAUUCUCAAACCUUUAUAUCUAAAAAUGAAAAACAUGGCAUAGCUACAUGCUGAGGCAGCUUUCUAUUUCCUGGUGUUUAUGCCUCAUCCCUGUUCCCCAUAUUCCUCCUCCUCACCUCCCCCUUCCCCAUUGUUCCAGGUCUUUAAGUGCCAAGGAGAUGGAAGUAUAGAGCUAGAACACAGCAUCACCUGGUGCUCAGGGGCUUUCUCAGUGUCCAUAGCUUCUCCUGGCUCCAGGGUACAUCCUUCCUUUGGAUCACCUCUACCAUGGCAGCUUUGCUGUGGUUGGGGAAGGAGGGAGACAACAUAGUGUAGAGAUGACCCAUUUCCCAGUACCAUUCAGUGAUUUUUGUAUGUGUAUCCCUACGCCAGAACAUAUUUUGACAAUACAUAUAGAUGAGCUUGCAAAAAAAGCUACUCCAUAGUAGCUGUAGGGAGCACCUGCCAUAAAAGAGGUACUUGUCAGAGGUUUACUCCUGACAAAAGCUGAAAAUGACCAGGAAAAAUAGAUUGCUGUCUCUGGCGUCCAGUGUGAACCUGCCUCAACAUAUGAAAAAGAAAGGUGCCAAGGGGUGGAAUUGCAGCCUUUGCAGGAGUGAUGCCAUAAAAUGGAGCCUAUCACUCGUAAAGUCCUUCCAAGGUAAGUAAAUUCAAGGCAGCCAUUAGCAGAGCUGAAGAUGGUUCUUUUCUGGACUGUUUCUCUAAUCUCUCCCCAACAAUCUGUUGCCCUAGGUCUUAGUGUAAAUUGUCCAAACUAAUUUUUUAGAGCAAAGCUCCUUUUGCUAGAUCUGAACCUCAGGAAUGCAGCCUAACUUGGCUACCAAAUGUCUCAGGACAUGUACAGGAAAAGCCACUGAUGCCAGACCUAGGUUCCCAGGCCUAUUAUGAGAUUGCUGUCUGUUUUCCUUCCUUCCUGAUGUUACAUUUGGAGCAGAGAGUAUGAAGGCAUUAUCACUCAUACCUGCCCAAUCACCACUUCCAAUUAUGUUGUGCCUAGUGCAGAUAUCUGAGCAUGCUUGAGUUGUCAGGGAGCUGGUGUCUGUGCACAAGUUUAGACAAAUAGCACCCUUAGUUUGUAUUGGCCCUUGAUUGGUGUUUCUUGUCAUUAUGUCAUUAAUUGCAAUUGUCUAUUAAAGUUC